This is a non-coding RNA of Neotoma lepida (desert woodrat), 70 nucleotides long. NCBI's taxonomy places the organism in Eukaryota, Metazoa, Chordata, Mammalia, Rodentia, Cricetidae. The record is from Rfam.
GGAGAAAUGGUUCAGUGGUGAAGAGCACUGGUUGCUCCUCCAGAGGACCUGGGUUCGAUUCCCAGCACCC